UGUCGUGAGAUGUUGGGUUAAGUCCCGCAACGAGCGCGAACCCCUGCAUUCAGUUGCCAUCGGGUAAUGCCGGGCACUCUGGAAGGACUGCCAUACGGACAAGAUGGAGGAAGGUGGGGAGUGACGUCAAGUCAUCAUGGCCCUUAUGUCCAGGGCGACACACGUGCUACAAUGGCCGGCACAACGGGAAGCGAGUUCGCGAGGACGAGCGGAUCCCUUAAAGACCGGUCGCAGUUCGGAUUGAAGUCUGCAACUCGACUUCAUGAAGCUGGAAUCGCUAGUAAUCGUGGAUCAGCCAAGCCGCGGUGAAUACGUUCCCGGGCCGUU
This 327-nucleotide ribosomal RNA is filed under the name uncultured Synergistaceae bacterium. RNAcentral's name for it is "bacterial SSU rRNA". It matches the Rfam family "Bacterial small subunit ribosomal RNA", at positions 1063 to 1382 of the family's 1533-position model. The record is from RNAcentral. Lineage: Bacteria; Thermotogati; Synergistota; Synergistia; Synergistales; Synergistaceae.